CCACCCCGAUUAUCACAUGAUCAAGGUCCAGAUGACGGACGGCACCGUGUUCGAGACGCGCUCGACCUGGGGUAAGGAAGGCGACACGCUGCAGCUGGACAUCGAUCCGAAGGUCCACCCGGCCUGGACCGGCGGCAACGCCCGCGUCCUCGACCAGGGCGGCCAGGUCGCGCGCUUUAACAAGCGCUUCGGCGGUCUCACGCUCGGCAAGAAGUAAGCUUAUCCUGCGUGGUCCCCGUUCUGGAGACCGCGCGGCUGAGGCUGAG
Molecule: unclassified non-coding RNA, 266 nt
Filed under: plant metagenome
Description: partial contains 5.8S ribosomal RNA, internal transcribed spacer 2, and large subunit ribosomal RNA
Source: RNAcentral